This 320-nucleotide ribosomal RNA is filed under the name uncultured eukaryote. Its description in RNAcentral is "partial 18S ribosomal RNA". It matches the Rfam family "Eukaryotic small subunit ribosomal RNA", at positions 1470 to 1796 of the family's 1831-position model. The record is from RNAcentral.
CCCUUAGAUGUUCUGGGCUGCACGCGCGCUACACUGACACACGCAACGAAUCUCCUGCCCUGACAGGGUCGGGUAAUCAUUUGAGUGUGUGUCGUGAUGGGGAUAGAGUAUUGCAAUUAUUGCUCUUGAACGAGGAAUUCCUAGUAAGCACAAGUCAGCAGCUUGUGCUGAUUACGUCCCUGCCCUUUGUACACACCGCCCGUCACUCCUACCGAGGGGGUGAUCCGGUGAAUGAUUCGGACUCUGGUGCUUCUAGCUGCUAGAUGCGCCGGAGGAAGUUUUGUGAACCUUAUCACUUGGAGGAAGGAGAAGUCGUAACA